GCCGGGUGCGGUGGCGCGUGCCUGUAAUCCAAGCUACCGGAGGCUGAGGUUGGAGGAUCGUUUGAGCUCCGGAGCUCUGAGCUGCAGCAGGCUAUGUCGAUCGGGUGUCCGCACUAAGUUCGGCAUUGAUAUGGUGAUCCUGGGGGAGCCCGGGACCACCAGGUCGUCUAAGGAGGGGUGCACCGGCCCAGGUCGGAGACGGAGCAGGUCAAAGCCCCCGUGUCGCUCAGUAGUGGGAUCGCGCCUGUGAAUAGAUGCUGUAGCGCAGCCUGAGCAAUACAGCGAGACCCAAUCUUUA
This is an unclassified non-coding RNA of Oreochromis niloticus (Nile tilapia), 298 nucleotides long. It matches the Rfam family "Metazoan signal recognition particle RNA". From Rfam's summary of the family: The signal recognition particle (SRP) is a universally conserved ribonucleoprotein. NCBI's taxonomy places the organism in Eukaryota, Metazoa, Chordata, Actinopteri, Cichliformes, Cichlidae. The record is from Ensembl.